CGCGCGGACGGUUCGCCGCCGCCGCCGGGGAGCGCCGGAGACCCCCCCGGGCCGCUACUGCGUCACGUCCCCCCCGCUCCUCCGUGAGGACGUCGGCACCGGGCCGGAGUGCCGCUACCGGUGACGGAUAUCCCGGGUCCGUUGCCCGCUCGAAGCAGAAAGCAGCGACGCGGGAACUGGCGUGCGCUUGGUUUGCUCUCUCGAGUUGCAAAAUCCAGGGAAAUUGUGUUUUCGUGUGUAGCGGCCGUGAGUAACUUUGACCGAAGCAUCCUUCCUUCCUGCCCGUUCUGAAGGAAGGAAUCUCUCCCUUGCCUUUGGUCUCCGUGCUGACGGGAACUCAUACGGGCUUGGUUACUUCAGCCGCUGCUAGGGGAGAGGGGGCCGUGCCGGAGCGGCUGUCACACGGCGUGCUGGUAUGGCUGCUUUGUUCAGUGACACGGGGAUGUUCUUCACCUGCCCUCGGUUGGCUGAGGGGAGCCUUCAUGGCGGCUGCAGCUCCUCACAGAGAGCGGAGGGGCAGCGCUGAGCUCUGCUCUGUGUGACAGCGACAGGGCCCGAGGGAACGGCAUGGAGCUGUGUCAGGGGAGGGGCAGCUGGGGGUCAGGGACAGGGUCUGCACCUGAGGGCGGUGGGCUUUGAAUGGGCUGCCCAGAGCUGUGGGCACAGCCCUGAGCUGCCGGAGUUCAGUGAGCAUUUAACAUCACUCUCAGACGUAAGGUCUGAUCCGUAUGAGUCUCUUCCAGCUUGGAAUAUUCUGUGAUUCACCCUUGAAUUCAAGGUGUUGAACAACCCUGAACCAUGUGCUCCACUGGCAGUGAAGUGCCUCACGCUGACACGGCUUGUUCUUCCUGAGACAAGCUAACGUUACCUCAUGCGUAUAACUUUUUAUAUUGAUAUAAGCAUAUCUGUACCAGGAAAGCUCAGUGAAUUAACUUUACUACUUCUGGCUACAGAUCGCAUAAAAAUAAAUCGUUUCCAUUACUCGUCCUGACAUAGGUAACUCAAAUGUAGUGCUCUUUUGGAAACAAAGCACGCAGUGAAAUUGAAACAGCUUUACUAUGUGAGAAAGUCCUUGUUUGCUUAUAUAUUCAACUGGAACACAUACAUCACAUAUAGAGCUACAUAGUAAUCAAAUUGAAGUACAUAUACAUAAAAAUAAUAUAUGCCUGAAAAAGUGUAUAUUAUGCACGUUUCCGUGUCAAGCCCUAUAUAAACCAUUAGGUUCCAGAAGUGUCUAUUAUGUAAGUAGCUUACAUAAAUAAUCUAAUUGGUGACACACCUAAUACCUGGCAAUGUGUUCUGUUGAAUAGAAGUCCAAAAUUUAUUUAGAAGAUGAAUUAAAAGAAUGUAUCUAAAAGCUGCAAUUCAUGGGUCAGAGUUAAGAUUGUCUGUGUUUUUUUUUUAAUCCACUAUAGAGGGGACUUUCCCUUCCUAAGUGGCUGUUCAUAUUCCUUUGCUCGAGCCCCACAUGAACACAGAUUUCAGCACCAUCCAAUAAUAAUCUGAAAAUUGCCUUCAUGGGUGAAGAUUGCUUUGAGUGGCAUUACUGGAAGUUACCCAUAGCCCUGCCUUAAUCUGCCACAAGUCUUGGGGUGGCACACCCGCACUGCGGGAGCAGGGAGACGGCUUUGCAGCGCUGAGUGCAAAAAGAGAAGGUACAGAAACACUGUGCAAAGGCUGCAUUAGUUCUGCUGCCUGUGGAGUAAUUUAGCUUUUCUACUUGUACCUCUUACUUGGCACUGUUGUUUUUUUUCCUAGUACAGAAUAAAUAAUUCAUCG
Molecule: long non-coding RNA, 1779 nt
Organism: Gallus gallus (chicken)
Lineage: Eukaryota; Metazoa; Chordata; Aves; Galliformes; Phasianidae
Source: Ensembl